GGUUUCGUAGAUCAACUGGUACAGCGCUUGCCGCGCAGAGGCAUGGUGUUUCUGUCGUUGGUUCGAAUCCAACCGAAGCCG
RNAcentral lists this transfer RNA (81 nucleotides) under Paragonimus heterotremus. RNAcentral's name for it is "tRNA-Cys". It matches the Rfam family "tRNA". Rfam says of the family: Transfer RNA (tRNA) molecules are approximately 80 nucleotides in length. Their secondary structure includes four short double-helical elements and three loops (D, anti-codon, and T loops). Further hydrogen bonds mediate the characteristic L-shaped molecular structure. tRNAs have two regions of fundamental functional importance: the anti-codon, which is responsible for specific mRNA codon recognition, and the 3' end, to which the tRNAs corresponding amino acid is attached (by aminoacyl-tRNA synthetases). tRNAs cope with the degeneracy of the genetic code in two manners: having more than one tRNA (with a specific anti-codon) for a particular amino acid; and 'wobble' base-pairing, i.e. permitting non-standard base-pairing at the 3rd anti-codon position. Lineage: Eukaryota; Metazoa; Platyhelminthes; Trematoda; Plagiorchiida; Troglotrematidae. The record is from RNAcentral.